This 253-nucleotide ribosomal RNA is filed under the name uncultured bacterium. RNAcentral describes it as "partial 16S ribosomal RNA". It matches the Rfam family "Bacterial small subunit ribosomal RNA", at positions 524 to 776 of the family's 1533-position model. The record is from RNAcentral.
UACAGAGGUCCCAAGCGUUGUUCGGAUCCACUGGGCGUAAAGGGUGCGUAGGUGGCCGGGAUAGUUCGGUGUAAAAGCUCCAAGCUCAACUUGGAAAUGUCACCGAAAACUUCCUGGCUUGAGGGUUGAAGGGGAGACUGGAAUUCUCGGUGUAGCAGUGAGAUGCGUAGAUAUCGAGAGGAACACCGGUGGCGAAGGCGAGUCUCAAGGCAAUUCCUGUCACUGAGGCGCGAGAGCUGGGGGAGCAAACAGG